CUACGGGCGGCUCCAGUCGAGAAUCUUCGGCAAUGGGCGAAAGCCUGACCGAGCGACGCCGCGUGCAGGAGGACGCCUCUAGGGGUGUAAACUGCUUUUAUGUGGGAACAAGACUUCGGUUUGAGCGUACCACAUGAAUAAGGAGCUGCUAAUCUCGUGCCAGCAGCAGCGGUAAUACGAGAGCUCCAAGCGUUAUCCGGAAUCAUUGGGCGUAAAGGGUCCGUAGGCGGAAUGGUAAGUUACAUGUUAAAGCUCCCGGCUUAACCGGGAAAAUGCCUGUAAUACUGCCAUACUAGAGUAUGUGAGAGGCUGAUGGAACGCAUGGAGUAGGGAUGAAAUCCGUUGAUACCAUGCGGAACACCAAAGGCGAAGGCAUUCAGCUGGCACAUUACUGAUGCUGAGGGACGAAAGCUAGGGUAGCGAAAGGGAUUAGAUACCCCCGUAGUC
Molecule: ribosomal RNA, 447 nt
Filed under: uncultured bacterium
Lineage: Bacteria
Description: partial 16S ribosomal RNA
Rfam family: Bacterial small subunit ribosomal RNA
Source: RNAcentral